This 421-nucleotide long non-coding RNA is filed under the name Musa acuminata (dwarf banana). RNAcentral describes it as "long non-coding RNA (MACU_LNC009976)". Lineage: Eukaryota; Viridiplantae; Streptophyta; Magnoliopsida; Zingiberales; Musaceae. The record is from RNAcentral.
CGCUGUUUCAACAGAAGUGAGGGUUAGAAAAGACUAGAUUUCAUAAACCACCGAUGGAAGAGGGUAUAAUCCAUAUGGCCAUAUCCAUGUGCACUUCUGAACUAAGAAGAAGAACAAACUGAAAGCAAAGCAUAAUAGCACACCCAAGAGAUAUAUCGCUAUGUCAUACCUGGUGCUCGCAUAACCAUUCCAUGGAAAAGUUAGCAAGCAGUGGUCAGCACUAGGUAUCUCUAACUAAAGAUUGUGAACCUCAAUUCUCUUUUUCUUUUCUUUUUUCAAGAAACAAACAUUUUUGGAAGAAAGUCACAGUUAUAAAUCCUCUUCAACUUACAGGCUGCAAGGAGCAUGUCAUCAUGCACGCGGAUCGCUCCUGAGAUCACCAAGCCAAGACCAAAUCCUGGGAAGAUGUAUGCAUUAUUUG